GUCCGAGCUGGCCGAAGGAGCACGCCUGGAAAGUGUGUAGGCGUCACAAGCGUCUCAAGGGUUCGAAUCCCUUACCUU
This 78-nucleotide transfer RNA is filed under the name Staphylococcus aureus. RNAcentral's name for it is "tRNA-Ser". Lineage: Bacteria; Bacillati; Bacillota; Bacilli; Caryophanales; Staphylococcaceae. The record is from RNAcentral.